CUACAUUCAUUGAACAAAUAUUUCCAUUAUCAGUUUAAUAUCUGAUACGUGGAUCAAUGAUCCACAUGAUAUUAAAUUAAUUUUUUUAAGGGGCAAGUCCAUCACAAUAGCUUGCUAUUGGGGCUUGCAUGUGUCAUCCUUGUGUUGCACUAUUACAAGGUUUGGCGCACCCUAC
Molecule: small nuclear RNA, 175 nt
Filed under: Rosa chinensis
Lineage: Eukaryota; Viridiplantae; Streptophyta; Magnoliopsida; Rosales; Rosaceae
Description: sRNA RchiOBHm_Chr1g0326631
Rfam family: U2 spliceosomal RNA
About the family: U2 is a small nuclear RNA (snRNA) component of the spliceosome (involved in pre-mRNA splicing). Complementary binding between U2 snRNA (in an area lying towards the 5' end but 3' to hairpin I) and the branchpoint sequence (BPS) of the intron results the bulging out of an unpaired adenosine, on the BPS, which initiates a nucleophilic attack at the intronic 5' splice site, thus starting the first of two transesterification reactions that mediate splicing.
Source: Rfam by way of RNAcentral